UACGUAGGGGGCAAGCGUUAUCCGGAUUUACUGGGUGUAAAGGGAGCGUAGACGGUGAAGCAAAUCUGAUGUGAAAACCCGGGGCUCAACUCCGGGAUUGCAUUGGAAACUGUUUUACUUGAGUGCUGGAGGGGCAAGCGGAAUUCCUGGUGUAGCGGUGAAAUGCGUAGAUAUCAGGAAGAACACCGGUGGCGAAGGCGGCUUGCUGGACAGUAACUGACGUUGAGGCUCGAAAGCGUGGGGAGCAAACAGG
This 253-nucleotide ribosomal RNA is filed under the name uncultured prokaryote. RNAcentral describes it as "partial 16S ribosomal RNA". It matches the Rfam family "Bacterial small subunit ribosomal RNA", at positions 524 to 776 of the family's 1533-position model. The record is from RNAcentral.